UAAUAAUUACGUUCAAAACUCAAGAAAGCCCCAAAGUAGAAACCCCAAAUCGGAAACCCCUGAAUCUGAAAACCCAUGAUAAACCCCAUUCUCGACUCCGACCUCGACGCCAACGUUCUUGUAGAGAGAAAACUUCACCCACCACGUUAAGGAGCCACUUCAACCAACAAAGAUGAAGACUACGAAAUUGAAAUGAGGCAGACAAUUCCCAUAGCCUGGGUGAAAACUUCUUGGUAGACUUGGUAGAUAUUCUCCUCAAAUUGAUCCCAAGUUACUAUAUAUUGAAAUAGAAGCUACUAAAUUAUUAGGUUUUAAGUUUUGUAUAAGUGUGAAUGCCUUCCAUACGCUGGCCCUGUUCGGUUCUCAAAUGUGAGACUAAGUUUCUACUUUGAAAACAUACCAAUUUUCAUACUUCAUCUGUAUUCUUUAAAAGUUGGUUUACUGGAAUUUUAUUUGCCGGUUUUGAUGUCCAAAUGGAUUGAUGCUAACAAAUUCA
This 496-nucleotide long non-coding RNA is filed under the name Olea europaea (common olive). RNAcentral's name for it is "long non-coding RNA (OEUR_LNC005446)". Lineage: Eukaryota; Viridiplantae; Streptophyta; Magnoliopsida; Lamiales; Oleaceae. The record is from RNAcentral.